This 484-nucleotide ribosomal RNA is filed under the name uncultured bacterium. RNAcentral describes it as "partial 16S ribosomal RNA". It matches the Rfam family "Bacterial small subunit ribosomal RNA", at positions 30 to 507 of the family's 1533-position model. The record is from RNAcentral.
AUUGAACGCUGGCGGCAGGCCUAACACAUGCAGGUCGAGCGGAUGAAGGGAGCUUGCUCCUGGAUUCAGCGGCGGACGGGUGAGUAAUGCCUAGGAAUCUGCCUGGUAGUGGGGGAUAACGUCCGGAAACGGGCGCUAAUACCGCAUACGUCCUGAGGGAGAAAGUGGGGGAUCUUCGGACCUCACGCUAUCAGAUGAGCCUAGGUCGGAUUAGCUAGUUGGUGGGGUAAAGGCCUACCAAGGCGACGAUCCGUAACUGGUCUGAGAGGAUGAUCAGUCACACUGGAACUGAGAAACGGUCCAGACUCCUACGGGAGGCAGCAGUGGGGAAUAUUGGACAAUGGGCGAAAGCCUGAUCCAGCCAUGCCGCGUGUGUGAAGAAGGUCUUCGGAUUGUAAAGCACUUUAAGUUGGGAGGAAGGGCAGUAAGUUAAUACCUUGCUGUUUUGACGUUACCAACAGAAUAAGCACCGGCUAACUUCGUG